UUAGGAAUCUUGCGCAAUGGGGGCAACCCUGACGCAGCGACACAGCGUGGAGGAUGAAGGUCUUCGGAUUGUAAACUCCUUUUAUAUGGGAAGAAUAGAUGACUGUACCAUAUGAAUAAGUACCUGCUAACUACGUGCCAGAAGCAUCGGUGAUGCGUAGGGUACGAACGUUAUCCGGAUUUACUGGGCGUAUAGAGAUGCGUAGGCGGUUUGAUAAGUCUUGAGUUAAAGACCUCGGCUCAACCGAGGGAGAGCUUUCGAAACUAUCAGACUUGAGACAUAGAUGGGUGAACGGAAUUCCGAGUGGAGUGGUGAAAUACGUUGAUAUUCGGAGGAACAUCAGUGGCGAAAGCGGUUCACUGGCUAUUGUCUGACGCUAAGGCUCGAAAGCGUGGGUAGCAAAACGG
Molecule: ribosomal RNA, 407 nt
Filed under: uncultured bacterium
Lineage: Bacteria
Description: bacterial SSU rRNA
Rfam family: Bacterial small subunit ribosomal RNA
Source: RNAcentral